This 319-nucleotide ribosomal RNA is filed under the name uncultured eukaryote. RNAcentral describes it as "partial 18S ribosomal RNA". It matches the Rfam family "Eukaryotic small subunit ribosomal RNA", at positions 1470 to 1796 of the family's 1831-position model. The record is from RNAcentral.
CCCUUAGAUGUCCUGGGCCGCACGCGUGCUACACUGACGCCUACAGCGAGUACUUCCCAGCCCCGAGAGGUGGCUGGUAAUCAGCAAUAGGCGUCGUGAUGGGGAUAGAUCUUUGGAAUUAUGGAUCUUGAAUGAGGAAUGCCUGGUAAGCGCAGGUCAUUAGCCUGCGCUGAUUAAGUCCCUGCCCUUUGUACACACCGCCCGUCGCUCCUACCGAUUUCGAGUGGUCCGGUGAAUCUUUCGGACUGCGCGCGGCCUCGUGCCGUGUCGCGGAAAGUCAGGUAAACCUUAUCACUUAGAGGAAGGAGAAGUCGUAACA